This 108-nucleotide ribosomal RNA is filed under the name uncultured bacterium. RNAcentral describes it as "partial 16S ribosomal RNA". It matches the Rfam family "Bacterial small subunit ribosomal RNA", at positions 1367 to 1482 of the family's 1533-position model. The record is from RNAcentral.
UACGUUCCCGGACCUUGUACACACCGCCCGUCAAGCCCAUGGAAGUUGGGAGGACCUGAAGCCAGUUGCUGUAAGGCGCUGUUUAGGGUUAAACCAAUGACUGGGGCU